UCCUUGUUGGCUCAGACGGUACAGCGUCUGUCUACAAUGCGGGAGACCCGGGUUCGAUUCCUGGGUUGGGAA
This 72-nucleotide transfer RNA is filed under the name Bos taurus (domestic cattle). It matches the Rfam family "tRNA". Rfam says of the family: Transfer RNA (tRNA) molecules are approximately 80 nucleotides in length. Their secondary structure includes four short double-helical elements and three loops (D, anti-codon, and T loops). RNAcentral also lists the same sequence under 2 other names. Lineage: Eukaryota; Metazoa; Chordata; Mammalia; Artiodactyla; Bovidae. The record is from Rfam by way of RNAcentral.